AAACCAUGAUGGGGGCAAAUCCUAAGCAUUUCUUUGAAAUGCUCCCAAGCAUCGUAAAGAGAUUCCCCAUCACAUUGAGUGAAUCGUGUAAUAUGAUCCCUCAAUUG
RNAcentral lists this small nucleolar RNA (107 nucleotides) under Medicago truncatula (barrel medic). RNAcentral's name for it is "snoRNA gene10289". It matches the Rfam family "Plant small nucleolar RNA R71". From Rfam's summary of the family: R71 is a member of the C/D box family of snoRNAs containing the C (UGAUGA) and D (CUGA) box motifs. Lineage: Eukaryota; Viridiplantae; Streptophyta; Magnoliopsida; Fabales; Fabaceae. The record is from Rfam by way of RNAcentral.